This 789-nucleotide long non-coding RNA is filed under the name Ananas comosus (pineapple). Its description in RNAcentral is "long non-coding RNA (ACOM_LNC009420)". The record is from RNAcentral. Lineage: Eukaryota; Viridiplantae; Streptophyta; Magnoliopsida; Poales; Bromeliaceae.
GGAGCACGGAGGUCUCCGUGCUCCUAAACCGUUUUCGAUGAUGGAGCUUUCCAAUCAAUGAUCGGCUCUGUUGGAAUUGAUCUAGCUUAUUUGAAUUAUCUAGAAAAUAAUUUUUAUAAUUUUUCGAUAUCAUUAAUUUACCUAUUAAAUAUAAAAUUAUAUAAACACCAUUCUCUAACAGCUUAAGCUUUUAAAGUACAACGGUUGUUUCACACAGUAUCAGAGCAGGAGGUCCUAAGUUCAAGUCAUGUCAGGUCACUAGCAUAAUUAAUUUCCUUCCUUUUAAUUCAAAUCCACAUUAUUAGCCUUGCAAAAAGACGUGAGGGGGAAUGUUAACUUAAGCUUUUAGAGUAAAAUGGUUGUUUCACAUUACCUAGCGAUCGAAAGGAUUCAAAAUCAAUAAUUUUUAAUGGUUGAUAUAUAUCGUUUGCAAGUUUAACAGUGUAGAAGUAUUCAAAUCAGAUGAAAUUUUGAUAAAAAAUUCUUUAUACUAUUUGCAGCAAGAUUAAUAUCUCUGAUCGAAAAUUUUAAUGCUAUAUCACCCUUUUUGUCAGAUUUUUAUUUUCAUCCAUUAAAUUUGAACUCUUCCGAUCGCUAGGUAAUGAUAUCGAAAAAUCGCAAAAUUUAUUUUCUAAAUACUUCAAAAAUGCUAGAUCAAGUCUAAUGGAGCCGAUCGUUGAUUUGGAAGCUCCAUCAUAAAAAACGGCUUAGGAGCACGGAAGCCUCCGUGCUCCUCAUAGCACACAAGACCUACUCUCUCUCUCUCUCUCUCUCUCUCUCUCUCUCUAU